RNAcentral lists this ribosomal RNA (160 nucleotides) under Paraplagusia japonica (black cow-tongue). RNAcentral describes it as "5.8S ribosomal RNA". It matches the Rfam family "5.8S ribosomal RNA". Rfam says of the family: 5.8S ribosomal RNA (5.8S rRNA) is a component of the large subunit of the eukaryotic ribosome. The record is from RNAcentral. Lineage: Eukaryota; Metazoa; Chordata; Actinopteri; Pleuronectiformes; Cynoglossidae.
UACAACUCUGAGCGGCGGAUCACUCGGCUCGUGCGUCGAUGAAGAACGCAGCCAGCUGUGAGAAUUAAUGUGACUUGCAGGACGCAUCGACCAUCGACACUUCGAACGCACAUUGCGGCCCCGAGCUCUGCCCGGGGCUACGCCUGUCUGAGGGUCGCGA